GACGAACGCUGGCGGCGUGCUUAACACAUGCAAGUCGAACGGAAAGGCCCUGCUUUUGUGGGGUGCUCGAGUGGCGAACGGGUGAGUAACACGUGAGUGACCUGCCCUUGACUUUGGGAUAACUUCAGGAAACUGGGGCUAAUACCGGAUAGGAGCUCCUGCUGCAUGGUGGGGGGUGGAAAGUUUCGGCGGUUGGGGAUGGACUGGCGGCUUAUCAGCUUGUUGGUGGGGUAGUGGCUUACCAAGGCUUUGAGGGGUAGCCGGCCUGAGAGGGUGACCGGCAACAUGGGGACGGAGAUACGGCCCAGACUCCUACGGGGGGCAGCAGUGGGGAAUAUUGCACAAUGGGCGGAAGCCGGAUGCAGCAACGCCGCGUGCGGGAUGACGGCCUUCGGGUUGUAAACCGCUUUCGCCUGUGACGAAGCGUGAGUGACGGUAAUGGGUAAAGAAGCACCGGCUAACUACGUG
Molecule: ribosomal RNA, 468 nt
Filed under: uncultured bacterium
Lineage: Bacteria
Description: partial 16S ribosomal RNA
Rfam family: Bacterial small subunit ribosomal RNA
Source: RNAcentral